RNAcentral lists this ribosomal RNA (464 nucleotides) under uncultured bacterium. RNAcentral describes it as "partial 16S ribosomal RNA". It matches the Rfam family "Bacterial small subunit ribosomal RNA", at positions 28 to 506 of the family's 1533-position model. The record is from RNAcentral.
GACGAACGCUGGCGGCGUGCUUAACACAUGCAAGUCGAACGGAAAGGCCCUGCUUGCAGGGUACUCGAGUGGCGAACGGGUGAGUAACACGUGGGUGAUCUGCCCUGCACUUCGGGAUAAGCCUGGGAAACUGGGUCUAAUACCGGAUAGGAGCCAUUUUUAGCGUGAUGGUUGGAAAGUUUUUUCGGUGUAGGAUGGGCUCGCGGCCUAUCAGCUUGUUGGUGGGGUAAUGGCCUACCAAGGCGGCGACGGGUAGCCGGCCUGAGAGGGUGGACGGCCACAUUGGGACUGAGAUACGGCCCAGACGCCUACGGGAGGCAGCAGUGGGGAAUAUUGCACAAUGGGCGCAAGCCUGAUGCAGCGACGCCGCGUGGGGGAUGACGGCCUUCGGGUUGUAAACUCCUUUCGCUAGGGACGAAGCUUUUUGUGACGGUACCUAGAUAAGAAGCACCGGCUAACUACGU